Oryctolagus cuniculus (rabbit) is the source of this 1325-nucleotide long non-coding RNA. RefSeq lists it as uncharacterized. The record is from RefSeq and is a predicted model, not a curated record. Lineage: Eukaryota; Metazoa; Chordata; Mammalia; Lagomorpha; Leporidae.
CAGAAGCAGGGUGGGCGUGCCAGCAGGGGCCUGCAGCUGCUAUGAUGACUACUGGUGCUCACAGGUGGCUGGCUGACUCUGCACCUCCAGGUGGGAGGGUGGCACUCCCCUGUGACCUGAAGGGGGACCUACACUACUGGGUUACAGAGCUGCCCACCAGCUCUCAGAGGGUCUCCAGACACCGGAAGGGCCCUGCUGGGAUGACGGAGCCAGACAGGAGCUUCACUCAUCCCAUCCCUCCUCCUCCUCAGCCCAGAGCUCUCUGCUGUGGCCUGGGAAAGCAGUAGAAGAUGGCCCAAGUCUUCAGGCCCCUGUACCCAUGUGGGAGACCCAGAAGAAGCUCCUGGCUCCUGAUUUUCGGUCGGCCCAGCUCCAGCUGUUGCAGCCAUCUGGAAAGUGAACUAACAGAAGACUUCUCUCUGCUGCCAUUAGCAUCUUCCCUCUGCUACCACCAGCUCUGGCACCAGCUCCAGCCUGGCACCAUGCCCCCUUCUCCUUCAGCCAAAACAUGGAGAUAAAUGGGCUGGCAGCGGGGAGAGGAGAAGGGGAGCACAGGAAGGCAGGAAACUUCGGCGGAAUAUUUAUGCUGACUUUAUCUCCGUCUGGGUGCCAGCCCUUGAAAGUGGAAAAUUAAUGACCUUAAUUCCCAAACUGGUUUGCCUGGAGCUGUGCGCACGGCCCGCCCCUCCCCCAUUGGCCGGGCGGCCCCCAGCCCCGGCCCACGCCACUCCGUCCCGGGUCUGGAGUUCAGGGCUGGGCUGGGGGCCGAGGAGGGCGGGCCGCGGCCGGGUAGGGGGUGGGGGGCGCGGGCGGAGGCGGAGAGCGGGGGCGGCCCUCCUGACGUGACAGCCGCACUUAGCCUGAAGAGACGGCGGAGAGGCAACAGAUGCCACUUGAGGAGCAGAGCAUGACGGGAGCGCGGGCUGAGCCGCGGCCCGGCGUUCGGGGCGAGGGGAGCAGGCGGCCCACGCGCAGGGCCCCGAAGGUCUGCGGGCAGCGGGAGAGGACCCCGGCGGGAGGAAGCUGGCCCGGGCCUGGGCCCAGAGGGACAGGCUGCUUGAGGGCGCCGGGGAUCUGCCCGGGGCCGGAGGAAGGCAGGCUUUCCCGCGCCCCCGCCAAGGGCUUUGUGCGGGCCAGGAUACCUCACAAAGUUCCUGGAAGGGGCGGAGGUUGUUAGCCCAGUUGCGAAGACGCAGGAUAGGCGCCUGCGUGCCGCGUCUCAGCACCCGAGUUCGAGUCCCAGCGCCUGCUCUGGCUCCAGCUUCUUGCUAAUGCAGAUCUCCACUCAGGCUCUUGCAGCAUUUGGGGAGUGACCCGGAGGGAUA